Molecule: long non-coding RNA, 477 nt
Filed under: Anas platyrhynchos platyrhynchos (common mallard)
Lineage: Eukaryota; Metazoa; Chordata; Aves; Anseriformes; Anatidae
Description: lncRNA (ENSAPLG00000018702.1)
Source: RNAcentral
CCUUAAUUACGUUUCUGUGGUUGUUGUGGUGGUUAUGAGUUAAAAAUAAGCCGCGCCUUCGCUUUCCCAGUGGGGGGCCGAGUUUUGCUUUAAUUGCCUCUGUUUGAAUCAAUUUAGGCUCAAUUAUGCUCCUCCUUUCGGUGUAAUGGAGACGCCUGUGCCUGUCUGGCCAAAGCCCUGCAGCAGGCCGAGUGCUGGGCCUCCAUCAUGGCUGGCCUCACGGAUGUCCCCGAGGUGGAUGCCCAGGCCUCCUGCUCAGCUGUGGUGGGAAAUGUUUGUUGUAGCACUUGAGGAACAGAGGACAUCUCACUGUCAUUUUCCUGUGUUGCUGGGAUCUAAGACCAGACUCAUCAGCAAGCAAAAGACUGAUUCUGAGACCUCUGCUUCAGUUGCUUGGAUCCAUGGCCACAAUUAGAGAACUAGCCAUCGGCUGGAUUUUUCAGAGGUUUAAAAUAAUAAAGCACUUCUCAAUUUUCA